UGAGAAAAAAUCUAUGAUAUUAUUACCCUGAAGCUGAAUGAGAUUCAUGGAGAAAAUCAAUUAUUUUUAUUGUAAUACAGAAUAAAGAUGAAGAUAAAAGUGUUACCCAGACGAUAAAAGUUAUUGAAACAGUAAUGAUAAGUUGAAAACUUCCGGAGGAAAUGUUUCCACUGUGUGACCAUGUUAUCAUUUCUAUCAGGAAAAUGGACUUACAAAGGCUGAAAGUAAAAAACAACAGCAACAAAGUGAAUGGUCAACUUAUCUCAAUGUGAUUUUACAUAAUCUUUACCUUGUUAAUGACAUUGGAGCUAAAAUGUGUUAUCUUUGGCUUUAUAAUCAUUGUGGUUACAAUUAUGAGAUAAUCUUGAGUGAAAAAAGGGUCGAUAAGACGUUGUACCGACGUCAAAUUAAAUAAAACGGAUAACCAAUCAAGAUGCAAAUUGACAUGAAAACGGGCACCGAGAAUGUAAUAAGAUGCAUUGGAUGGGAGCAUAUUUGUGUAUAUCUUGCUUUAAGGCUUGAAUAUUUAUAUUUUUAAGAGGAACCUGUUAAAAUUGAUUACAUAUCAUUGGUCGUUAUCGUUGUCCAAAUGUUGGCCUCAUGGUUAAUCCCAAAAUCCAGUUUUCCAGCACUUUUUUAUUUUCUUACUGAUAAAAGUAAAUUUUCACUGAAAGUUUCUCGUUGUUUCUUUAUACUUUUCAUCUUCUUAUUAUUAAUACAAUUUACCUACA
Long non-coding RNA from Panonychus citri (citrus red mite), 731 nucleotides. RefSeq lists it as uncharacterized. Lineage: Eukaryota; Metazoa; Arthropoda; Arachnida; Trombidiformes; Tetranychidae. The record is from RefSeq and is a predicted model, not a curated record. The transcript has 4 exons.